GGACCUGUGGCCUAGUGGAUAGCGCUGCUGUUUUUCAAAUUCUCAACGGGGGUUCGAACCCCGUUGGGGUCA
Molecule: non-coding RNA, 72 nt
Organism: Caenorhabditis brenneri
Lineage: Eukaryota; Metazoa; Nematoda; Chromadorea; Rhabditida; Rhabditidae
Source: the annotation of a GenBank genome assembly